This is a long non-coding RNA of Cynoglossus semilaevis (tongue sole), 674 nucleotides long. RefSeq lists it as uncharacterized. The record is from RefSeq and is a predicted model, not a curated record. The transcript is spliced from 3 exons. Lineage: Eukaryota; Metazoa; Chordata; Actinopteri; Pleuronectiformes; Cynoglossidae.
GACAAAUAGUGAUUUUUUUUUCUUGCAGUGUUCUCUCCUACUGAAGGGUGACGGUACCAGCUGGGAGCGGGUCGUUCAGGGCCACCAGGAUGAUGGAGCGUUCAGGAAUGUUCUUUAGGUUGGAGAAUGUGUUAGUCAAGGGAACUAAAAGGGUUUAAACCUCAGCUCUCUGGCCCUGUUUGACUUAUUGUCUGUAUAAUACUAACUCAUGGACUUCCUUAAAAGCCAACAGAGCGCUGUCAAACACUGUAGCUGUUAUUCUACGAAAUCCUGUGAUUAUGAUUGUCACUGAGGGAUGAUUGUUGUCAGAAACCAGUGGACGUUAACCAAAGCAAAUGUUAUCCUAAAAAAUUGCCGCAGGGGGAGAGGGGCAAAAGGGUAGAGAACCAGAGUUGGACUCCAUGAAGCUCUGUCUUUGGUCAAGGUUGAGUCUCACACACACCAGCUCCACCUUUGAGAGCUUACUGUACCUGGACUGAGAUCAACGACAAACUUCAUUUCCAGGAAAAGCUGGAACUGUUUCUAUAGUUUUGCAGGAACAUCCACGGUGUUGCUGUUCCUGUUCACCACUGGCACAAAGGUUCCAAACUCUGUUUUUCCCAAGCUGCUGACAAAUGGACAUGGAUCUACUUAGAACAGUUAAAUUGUGUUUUCAGCUCGGUCACGGUGCUUCA